Molecule: long non-coding RNA, 6695 nt
Organism: Symphalangus syndactylus (siamang)
Lineage: Eukaryota; Metazoa; Chordata; Mammalia; Primates; Hylobatidae
Source: RefSeq, a predicted model, not a curated record
AUUUGAUUCUCCAAAGUUCAGCAUCUUUAUUUUGUGAUUUAAAUUUGUCAAGUUAUGCCUCUGAGGGGUCCUGUCAUUCUCCCAGCGAAUAAAAAUGUGGAUGCUUGGGGAAGUGGAGGUGGAUGGUGAAUGGGAAUACUCUUGUUUGAAUUUUUAAAAAUUUACAUUGUAAAUAACAUUAAAUACCAUUUGUUGUGCCCAUGAUAACUUCAUCCAAAAUAUAUAUAUAUUGGUCUGCUAAGAUAUGCCAUAACCAAAUAACAGGCUUGGUGCCUUAAACAACAGAAAUUUUUCUUCUGGUUCUGGAAGCUGGAAGUCUAAGAUCAAGCUGUUGGUGGAUUUGAUUUCCCCUGAGGCCUCUCUCCUUGGCCUGCAGACCACCACCUUCUCUCUGUGUCCUCACCUAGCCUUUUCUCUGUGUCCUCACCUAGCCUUUUCUGUGUGCUGCAUCCCUGGCCUCUCUUCCAGUUCUUAUAAGGACCCCAGUCACAUUGGAUUUGAGCCCCGUCCUUAUGAACUCACUUAACCUUAAUUACCUCUUUAAGGGCCCUGUCUCCAAACGCAGUCACUUUAGGGGCUUAGGGCUUCAAUUUAUGAAUCUGGGGGACAAUUUAGUAAAAAAUAGUAUGUGACAGCCCAGUUUAUAUACCUCCUUUCCAGAAACAAGAGUGUGGUUGUUAACGUCUUCUCUUUAGCCUCAAGAUACAGUGCAAAUAUCUGUAGUUCUGUUCUUACAUAAGCUUUAUUUUACUUUUUCUAAAAACUAUAUUGAAAGUAUAGCAAUCCCAGUUAGAAAUUGCUUAUAAUGCAUUCAUCUAAUCAGCUCAGUGUUCUUACUGAACAAACUUUUAUUUCCAUGUUUACUCCUGUUUAUUUCAUCAGUUUCACCUGACAUUAUACCAUGAAUAUGUUUCUGUUUUGCUAGUGUUUUUAUUCUUACUGAUCACAUGUCCCUUUUUCAUCUUCCAUAGCACUCCCAGCCUAGAGUUAACAACCGCUAACCACCGUAGCCACAUACUUUUCCAUGUUUGGAUAACCUUAUGCAGCAUAUACACCUAAAGGGUGGUGGUUUUUUUAGGGGGUGGUGGUGGAAGCGGAGAGAGGGUCAUUGUUUUUACAAAAAUUUAAUUUCAUCUAUUUUACACAUCCUUUCCCAUGUCUUCCCCUUGUACUUUCCAACCUUCAGUUUCUUCUUUUUCUAAUUAGCUUUGUCGGAGUGACUUAAAAUACAAUAAAAUGAAAUAACAUAGCAGUGAUAAUAAUAGAAUUAAAAUAAAAGAGGCAUGAUUGGAGAAACUGCACACAUGCACACCAAAAUUUCAAAUAUCCUUAUUCCUUCUGUGUACAGUUCUCAGUGGGUAGUUCAGACCUUCAUUCCCAUCCUCAGCCUCUCCUAUGCAAUGCCAGCUUCUGUAACGCUGGAUGAUCUUUUCUUUGCCUAACCGAGAAAACUGGAGAUGUUAGGUAUGAUCCUCUUUUCAACUUUUGUGCCUCCUAUCUAUAAAUUUAAUUAGUUGUUAACCAGCUUGUAAUAAAGGGGUAAACAUUGAUAACCCAAAUUAUUUAGAAAAUAGAAAUAGAAUCAGAAUGUACUAUAAAAUGAGCUUACAAAUUUCAACAUGUGUCCACUAUUUUGGGGGAGUGUUUGCUCUUCUCCAGAAGUAAUCCAGAAAGCUCACUUUUCCCCCCUAGACUAUCUCAUACAACAUGUUUGCCCUGUAGCAAACAGCUCUCUUAUUUUUUCAGUAAUGUAGAGCUAAACCAGUAUUCUUUUGUUGUUUUCAUUUUGUGGAGUUUUUGUGUGUAUUUUUAGUUUUUUGAGACAGGGUCUCGCUCUGUUGCCCAGGCUGGAGUGCAGUGGUGCAGUCUCCUCUCAUUGCAACCGCCAACUCUCUGGCUCAAACAAUCCGCCCACUUCAGCCUCUGAAGUAGGUGGGACUACAUGUGCAAGCUGUGCUUGGCUAAUUUUUUAUUUUUUUGUAGAGAUGAGGUCUCACUAUAUUGUCCAGGCUAGUCUCAAACUUCUGGACUCAAGUGAUCCUUCCACCUCCGCCUCCCAUGCCUCUGCGAUUACAGGUGCAAGCUACUGCACCUGACCUAGACCCAUAUUCCUAACCUAGUUCAUCAAAAGCUUAUGAGGAACUUUUUUUUCUUUAAAGUGUCCAGAUGUUAUCUCUCAUGUGUAUUACAGGGCUUUAAAUGUGAGUACUGGAGUUUAGAUGGUUGCUUUUCCAAUUUUAAUUUAGGAUUUGCCUGUCUCCCUACUAUGAGACUGUGAUUGAGCCUAGCUAAAGUAGGGCGGAGGAAUUUGCUUUUUACAGUACUGUAUGUCACAUGAAAGGGCAGGGGUCUUCAGAUUGCUGAUGUUCCCUCAGCCAUAGACCAUGCCCACUUUUGACAUGUGCUCUAGCCAAAGCUGCAUGAAAAUAUUUUUCAGUCCCUACUGGAUUUUUCUCUUAUGAAUGGUUAACAGUGCAGGUUCUGGAACCAAACUUCCUGGAUUCAGAUUCUGGCUCUGCUGUUUAUUCGCUGUGUGUUGACCUUGAAUGAGUGAGUUAACUUUUCCGUGCCUCAGACUCUUCAUCUAUAAAAUGGGCAUUAUGACAUAAUGCACCUUAGAGGAUUUUUUAAAAGAUUAAAUGGGUUUCCAGAUAUAAAAUGUUUGGAAACUAUGUGCCGCAUUAAGUAUUCAAUAAUUGUCAGCCCUUUUUAUAGUUUGUCGGUAUUGUUUACUCCUGUUCUGGUUUUGAGGAUCUUUGGCUUCCAUCUUCUACCUGCAUUCCUAGUGUUUUUUGUUUUUGUUUUUUUUUCCCUUCCUACUUAAGGUUGUGCUCAAGGUUUGGUACUUGGCCACUUCCUCAUGCUUUUCGCUUUUUCUGGUUGUGUCUAUUAGUUUGUCUUCUUAUUAUGCCUCCAUGAUUCACAAGUCAUUGUUUUCUAAUCAUACCCAUGUGAGUUCUAAACCAAUACAUAUUUGCAGUUGUCUUUUCAGCACAUAUACCUGGAUGUUUCACAGACACUUUCGACUUGGCACAUCUGAAUUCAUCACUUUUUCCCAAAUCUGAUUGUCUCAUACUCCCUUGAUGAAAUGAUGUGAGAAUCCCAAAAUUAAUUAUUCUCAAUUCUCCUUUUACCUCCCGUUGAUUACCAAGUGUCAACACGUCAGAUUUUUUAAUACUCCUUAGUACUAUGGCCGAUGAGGUCCGCCAUCUCUGAGUUUGACUGUUAGAUUUGUCCCUGAGUAGCACUGUCUUUGAUCUUGCCCCUGAAAUUCAUCUUCACACUGUUGAAAGAAUAAUCUUUUAAAGUGGUUUAUUUUACAUGUCUGUCUUCCACUGCUGGACUGAGCUCUUACAGGAGAUUGUAUCUCUUGUUUGUGUAAUCCUAGCACCUGUUAAAAUAACUAGCAACUUAGUGGUGCAGUCUUGCAGAUUCUCUGACCCUCCAGUCACCCUAGACCUGCACUGAUACAGUUUUCGUUAGCCAUUUAAAUUUAAAUAAAAUUAAACAUUCUGUUAAUUAGUAAUACUAGCUAUAUUUCAAAUGCUCGUAGCCACAUGUGACUGUUGACUACUAUAUUGGACAACAUUUUAGAACAUUUCAAUUAUCAUAGGAAGUUUCAUUGGACAGAGCUGCCCCAGCAGACCUUUGCUGAUACGGAUGUCUUUCUGUAUUAACAUCCUUUUAACAUUCAGACACCUCCCAAAUGUUAACCUUAAUAGAUUGGCCUUCAGCAUUUAUGUCUCUCUAUCUUGAUCCUGCAAUUGAUGACUUUACUACGUCGGCUCUGCAGAGAGCACCAUUACCAGCAUGUGUCCAAUCAGGAAAGCCGACACCACAUAUUUCAACAGAGGAGAUGUGAGUACAGAGGCAUUAGAGAGUAACCCAGGGAUCACAACUGUAGGAUGCAGCUACUAGUCCUAAGGGUAAGAAAACAAAUGGGAAAAAAUUGGGGUUGCCAGCCUUAAAGCUCCAAAAAGGGUCCUCAUGGCAUUAGUGCUCAGACCCCUGAGGAGGCUCACCACCUACCUGCUCAUGGUAAUGCUGAGGGGUAAAGUAACGACAGUUCUAGAAGUUUCGAAGUCGUUGAAGGCUGGCAUUCGCUGCCGUUAUUACAAAGCUGAUAGGACUAGCCAUCAGAGAUGAACUAGAUCUUGUUUCAUCUUCCUUCCAACUUCCCUGUAGUACUUCCUACUGGCAGAACCUAAUAAGCAGCAGUCAGAGGGGUCAGAGAAGUGUAGUUUGCAGAGUCCCGGCCCCAGCACACACAGCAGAGGACAGAAGGGUGGAAUUGGAGCUGAGAAACAAUAGAUGAAGAACCAGCACACGGGUUUCCUUCAAAGACUCAUUUUUAUCUACAGGUAUUAGUCCCUAAAACGCCAGAUACUCAGGAGUUUGUAGAGACACUCAGGGCCCUCAAGAAUAAGUGUACUAGCUCAAAUUGAAAUCUUGUUACUCUUUUCUAUUAAAUGAGACCGUAAUGCUGCUAUAUAGUGCCUAACUUUUAAAAUUGACAGUGGAUGAAUCUGCAUAUUAUAAUCAGGUGUUCAUGUCCAUCCAUUCAUUUAUUGAGUGCCUACCACAUGCCACACAGUCUGUCAGGUGGUAUGUAUAUAAAAUAAAACUUAGAUAAUAAGACAAAAGUAAUAAUUCACCCAAAUUCAUCUAUAAAUCCAGAGUUAGGGACUGUUAACAUUUUUGUGUUCGUGCCUGUGGACAUCUUUCUGUGCGUAUGCAUGUACACACAUAACUAUCAAAAUAUCAUAAAGUUUAUAAAUGCAGAUGUUUCCAAGAAAGUGUAUAUUCAUCUACCACUCUUCUGCUCUAUAGUAUUUGAUUAUACGGAGAAUGCUCCAUUAGUAUUUAUCUGUGGACAUAGAGCAUAGGCUGCUACAUAUGUCUCUAUAUACUUUAUGCACUUUGUCUUUCCACUAAAAUUUCUCAAUGUAUAAUUUCUGUCUGGGUCACUGAAUAUGUAGACUUAAAAUUUUGAGCUACGUUUUUCAAACUGCCCUUCACCAAAGCUGUUACAGUUUACACUGCCACCGAUAGUACAUGAGACUGUUCUUUCAUACAUUCAAUAACAGAAUAUUACUGACCUUUAAUUUUUUUAUUGCUAGCUAAAAGUGUAUUCUCAUUUUGAAAUUUUUAGUGAGAGCAUAUUCCAAUAUGUUAAUUGGCUAUUUGUAUUUCUUGUAUUGUUAACUACCUGUUUACAUCCUUUACACUUUUUCUUUUGGGUGUUUAUGUCUGUAACUUGGCAGUAGCUCACAUUAGGAAUCAUUACUACACACGUUGCAAAUACUUUUACAAUUAAUUUCUUUAUUCUUGCAUUAUAACCAUUCUUACGUAGUGGUGCUCUACUAUUUCUGCCUUAGGUAUAAUGUUUAGAAUUUUCUCUGGUCAGGGUUAUAAAAAUACUCGUGUUUCUCCUGAUAUUUUUAUGAUUUCAUUUUUAGAUCAGUUUUUAAUGCAGUUGACAGUUACAUUAAAGUAGUGAAAUAAAGAGUCAACAUUUUCUGUCAGUAUUAUCUGGUUGUCAUAAUACCAUUUAUAAAAUAAUUCCUGCUCUUCCUCAUUGAUCUAAAAUGUAACUUCCACUAGAUAAUCAUUUUUAUGUUUGAUAUUUACAAAUACGAUUCAGUUCUAUUUUCUCUAUUCAGCUAUUUUCACUGAUUUGAUUAUUGUUGCUUCUUGUUUGAAUAUAUAUUUAAAAUAUUUGUUUUGUAACUAAUACAAGGUUUCAUACCUAAUAAGUCAAGUAUUACUUCCCAACACAUACACCCUUAUCUCUUUCAUAAUUCCAUACUGUUUUACAGAUAAAGUGUAGAAUUAUUUAAUCUUCCUUCAAAUACAGAUUCUAUUGGUAUUCUGAUUAUAAUACAGGAUACAUAGAUACAUACGACAUUGCAUGGUUCACAUAGAGAAAUUGUGGCACAUUUUCAGUAUUAAUAUUCUUAUUCCUAAAGAGUAGUGUUUGUCCUAUUAGGUUCAUAUGUCCCUCAGUAGAGUUUUUAGAUUAUUUUUAUUUUUCUUUAGUCAGGUAUCUUAAUGUGUUUUAAUGUUCUUGUAUUUAUGAAUGUGCUCCUUUUUUCUCCCUCUUUACAAAAAUGUUUUCUAAUUGAAUAUUUUCAUUUUUUUAAUCUCAGAACGUCUUCACACAAAUUAGUAAGGGCCUCAAAGAACUUUUAUGUUGGCAGAUGCUGAUUGAUCGAAUCUCGGCUUGUGGAGGACCAACCUCUUCCAUACACUUACCCAAAUAAUUUACUGUGAUUAGGUUUCUUAGGUAUGCCGAUGCAAAAACAGAACGAAAUUCAUCUUGCAAGCAACUGUCUCUCAUCAUAGGUUAGUAAAUGAGUGUUUUGUUUAAUAAACACAUCUAUUAAUUUUAUUAAUCCAAACUAGUUCACCUAAUAGUACUCAAAAUAGCAAAGAUAAAUGGUUAAGCUAGAGGCUUCCCUAACAUGAAAAUUGACUAAUAAUUUUGUUAAAUAUCUCUGUGCUGUCACCAGUGUGUAUAUAUUGGCCAUUCUUUUGUUCACUUUAUUGAUAUUUUUUCCUUGCAGUUGAAAAAAGGAUAGUUAUACUUAGAUAACUUGAUUGCUGUCUUCUAAAUUCCCAGUAGGUGGUGUCAUAAUACUGUAUUUAGGGAAUUUUUUUUAUUUAUUUAAUAAAGUGAAAAAAGAAAGUGCAAA